Cyanistes caeruleus (blue tit) is the source of this 700-nucleotide non-coding RNA. The record is from RefSeq and is a predicted model, not a curated record. Lineage: Eukaryota; Metazoa; Chordata; Aves; Passeriformes; Paridae.
GACCGGCCAUGACCGCCCUAUGAACCAGUCCUGUCCGUUCUGUGGAACCGCUCAUGUCAUUCCUGGUCAUCUCAUGCCUGAAGGAUCGGCCGUGUCUGUCCUAAGGGAUCGAUCAUGUCAUCCCUGAGGCACGGAUCAUCUCAUCCCUAAGAGGGACCGGUCAUGUCCUCCCUGAGGGACCGACUGUGUUUUCCCUGAGGGACCAGUUAUGUUCUCCCUGAGGGACCGAUUGUGUUUUCCCUGAGGGACCAGUUAUGUCCUCCCUGAGGGACCGGUCAUGUCCUCCCUGGGGGAGUGAUCGUGUCCUCCCUGAGGGAUCGGCCGUGUCUGCCCUGAGCGGUGAGAUGACCCUGCUGUCCUCAGAGGCAACGCUGAGGAGAACCAGCAGCUCCACACAAAAACAACCGCGUCACCUCUCGCUGUCACACCAAAUCACAGUGGCUGUGGUGAAAAAAGGACCGUGACAAAAGCCCCUGCUGAAAACUGCACAGCUCAACCCUUAAGAGACACACUUCAACGAGACACGCAGGACAGAGGUUUGAAACCAGAGGUUUCCCCCCAUUGCACUGGCGGUAAAGACAAUUCGGGGACGCUGCGCUUUGAGGUGGAUCCCACCGAGGCCAGGCCCAGCAGCAUUGGGAAGAGCUGUUCCUGCUGAAAUCAGGACCAGGUUGGACCAAAGGUGCUGGAAAAAUCAGAG